Molecule: non-coding RNA, 512 nt
Organism: Arachis ipaensis
Lineage: Eukaryota; Viridiplantae; Streptophyta; Magnoliopsida; Fabales; Fabaceae
Source: RefSeq, a predicted model, not a curated record
UUUCUAUUUUAAAAGUAGAAAAUUUUUUCCUUUUUUCUUUUUAAUAAAAUUACAGAAAAUGUCGUUAGGGUUCGAGAUGCAAGCAAAGGAACCGCCGGAGAAAGGUGUGAUGGUUUCGGCAAGCGUUCCAGCACCGGAACACCAGAAACCGAGGCUCGAUCCAUUCGCGGGUACUCCACAGGUAUGAUCGUUCUGGAUUAUGGCCGUCGCGGAUAUGCCGACGAAGCGACUAGACUCCCCCGCACCAACAACACCUUUGAGAAGCUCGCUAAGCUGCCAGGGAAAAGCAUAAAUUUUGAGCCUGACAACAGCUUUAAAUUUCUUCCAAAUGCUACAACUGAGGUUUGUACCAAUUAGCUAUAGCAUAUGCUUAAUUAAUUUUAUAUAGCAUAUACAAAUUUCAACAUUCAAACAACCUAGGUUGCAAGUUUAAUACAGAAGAAGGCAUGGUGUCUUAUUAUGUUUUUGCUCAUGUUCAUUAGAAAUCAUUCAAACUUAUUAUGUGAUGCCAU